GUGCCAGCCGCCGCGGUAAUACGUAGGUGGCAAGCGUUGUCCGGAUUUAUUGGGCGUAAAGCGAGCGCAGGCGGUUUCUUAAGUCUGAUGUGAAAGCCUUCGGCUCAACCGAAGAAGUGCAUCGGAAACUGGGAAGCUUGAGUGCAGAAGAGGACAGUGGAACUCCAUGUGUAGCGGUGAAAUGCGUAGAUAUAUGGAAGAACACCAGUGGCGAAGGCGGCUGUCUGGUCUGUAACUGACGCUGAGGCUCGAAAGCAUGGGUAGCAAACAGGAUUAGAUACCCUGGUAGUCCAUGCCGUAAACGAUGAGUGCUAGGUGUUGGAGGGUUUCCGCCCUUCAGUGCCGCAGCUAACGCAUUAAGCACUCCGCCUGGGGAGUACGACCGCAAGGUUGAAACUCAAAGGAAUUGACGGGGGCCCGCACAAGCGGUGGAGCAUGUGGUUUAAUUCGAAGCAACGCGAAGAACCUUACCAGGUCUUGACAUCCUUUGACCACUCUAGAGAUAGAGCUUUCCCUUCGGGGACAAAGUGACAGGUGGUGCAUGGUUGUCGUCAGCUCGUGUCGUGAGAUGUUGGGUUAAGUCCCGCAACGAGCGCAACCCUUAUUACUAGUUGCCAGCAUUAGGUUGGGCACUCUAGUGAGACUGCCGGUGACAAACCGGAGGAAGGUGGGGACGACGUCAAAUCAUCAUGCCCCUUAUGACCUGGGCUACACACGUGCUACAAUGGAUGGUACAACGAGUUGCGAGACCCGCGAGGUUUAGCUAAUCUCUUAAAACCAUUCUCAGUUCGGAUUGUAGGCUGCAACUCGCCUACAUGAAGCCGGAAUCGCUAGUAAUCGCGGAUCAGCAUGCCGCGGUGAAUACGUUCCCGGGCCUUGCACACACCGCCCGU
This 893-nucleotide ribosomal RNA is filed under the name uncultured bacterium. RNAcentral describes it as "bacterial SSU rRNA". It matches the Rfam family "Bacterial small subunit ribosomal RNA", at positions 505 to 1397 of the family's 1533-position model. The record is from RNAcentral.